This 453-nucleotide ribosomal RNA is filed under the name uncultured Prevotellaceae bacterium. Its description in RNAcentral is "bacterial SSU rRNA". It matches the Rfam family "Bacterial small subunit ribosomal RNA", at positions 341 to 792 of the family's 1533-position model. Lineage: Bacteria; Pseudomonadati; Bacteroidota; Bacteroidia; Bacteroidales; Prevotellaceae. The record is from RNAcentral.
ACGGGAGGCAGCAGUGAGGAAUAUUGGUCAAUGGGCGAGAGCCUGAACCAGCCAAGUAGCGUGAAGGAUGACUGCCCUAUGGGUUGUAAACUUCUUUUAUACGGGAAUAAAAAAGGCCACGCGUGGCCUCUUGUAUGUACCGUAUGAAUAAGCAUCGGCUAAUUCCGUGCCAGCAGCCGCGGUAAUACGGAAGAUGCGAGCGUUAUCCGGAUUUAUUGGGUUUAAAGGGAGCGUAGGCGGGUCUUUAAGUCAGUGGUCAAAGCGUGUGGCUCAACCAUACCACGCCAUUGAUACUGGAGACCUUGAGUGCACAUAAGGAUGGUGGAAUUCGUCGUGUAGCGGUGAAAUGCUUAGAUAUGACGAAGAACUCCGAUUGCGAAGGCAGCUGUCUGGGGUGUAACUGACGCUAAUGCUCGAAAGUGCGGGUAUCAAACAGGAUUAGAUACCCUGGUA